Molecule: non-coding RNA, 2609 nt
Organism: Triticum urartu
Lineage: Eukaryota; Viridiplantae; Streptophyta; Magnoliopsida; Poales; Poaceae
Source: RefSeq, a predicted model, not a curated record
GACAAACACGGUGAUUCUGGUCGGAGCCGUGGCUACGUGAUUCUGGCCCGCGUGCAUCCAUAGUCAGAGGACGCCGAGCCUUCCUCGCUGCCAGCAACAUCAGCUCGUCUCGGCAUGAGGUUGAGCAUGGCAAUAAUGUACAGUUUGAACUUCGUGCUGGCAGAACUUUUUCGUCUUGAAGCAUUCUGUGAAUUACACCAUGAAUAGCAAGAACAUCAGGCCAUUUGAGAGAAGGGGUGUCCUGGAGUUCUCCCUAAAUCUUACUGCAUUCUUAGUGAUAAUGAGGAAUUAUUAUUCACUUGAGAAAAUAAAGAUUAAAACGGUGAGGCUCUCAAAAGUGAAAUGACUUUCUGAGCUGGACAUUGACCUUUUUUUGAGCUAGAUAUUGACUUUCUGAGUAGCACAAUAUAGGUCCUAUCUGAAGCCUUUUACGUGCCUGUUAUAAUGAUCUUUUUAUUUUCCUUUGCAUAUUAACUAGAGAAUAUUAUUGUCUGCUAUAACUGCUGAAAGAUGUCAUAUUCCUUUGUUAUAAUGCUGUUUGCAGUAGGAGGUGUACGCCUCUCAUUCAAAGAAGAGGCUCAACAAUCUUUUGGAUGGACUUAUGAUUACCACAUAUAUGAUCUUAUGAAGCAGGAGUUGAGAACUACAAAAUCCAUCUAUUCCUAGAAUGGAGCUGGUUGAAGUUGGGCCUUCAAUGGACCUGGUAGUUAGGUGGCACCGACGUUUAGUAAAGCCAAUUUUUUAUGAGGAAAUGCACCAAAAAAAGUUUAGUGGAAGUGGAUUAGAUUGUUUGUGGUCAUAUGCUCUUGAGAAAAUUUGCGCUUUCUUUAUUUCUUCUGAUUAUAUUUUUUUGUUUAUUUCUAACUGACAUUGAUAUGCAAAAGAAAAUCCUGUGAUUUUUUUUGCCCUCUCAUUGACCAUUUAAAUUUUCAGUCAUAGCUAUAUACAAAGAAGUAUUGUACCAUAUAGUUUUGUCUUUUCGGAAAUGUCUAAAGGCCUGUUACAUGCAUCAUUUUCUCUUUCAUAUCCUUCAUUUGAAACUGAAAAUAUGAACCAUUUUGUUGAUAUGAACAUUAGUUGCAAGGUGAAUAAAUAGUGGUCGACAAUGUGGCUGGAUGUACAUGAGCAUAUGUUGUAUCUUUGACGCCAUUCAUUUUGAAUCAUUAGAAUAAUAAAAGAGGUUUGUUUGUAUAAUUAUUUUCCAGGUUUCUAAACACAUUUAUUUAUCUCUUUUGUAUCCAUUGCAACACAUAUGUUUCCCUAAAUAAAAUGACUGUACAAUUGUGUGAACUGAGUGGCUGGUCGUUACUGUAGAUUAAAUUUCUCACAUUAAGAAUCUUUGCCUGACGCUACAAAAAAUAUAUAUGUUUUGUAGCAGGAUUAGUGAUCAAAUAUAUCCUUUUUGUUGUAAAUAUUUUAGUCUGCUACUUUGUUCAUUAAUUUUUCUGGGCAUUUUUGCUUAAGUUUUAUUUCAAAGCAAAAUCAUAUCGAGCUAUCUACAAGUUAGAAUUGUCCAAAACAGUUUCUGUAACAUUGUAUAUCAUGUGUUUUCUCUUUUAUUCAUAACAUAAUAUGCAGUCACACAAUUUAUAUCUUGGUUGUGAAUUCCAGAGGGGAAGGUAGCCUUCCAGGCAGUUAGAGCUUCGUCACUUGGAAGGUAGACAAGCAAUGCAAGCCAACAAAGAAUUAGGGAAGCACCGAGUUCGCCGGACGUAGCAGAACGUUUGUCGAGCCAUCCAAUAUUGCCAACGGUGCCUACACCAGAGGUAUGUGAUGCCUCGACCAUCCUCAGAAACAGCCUUGCUAUUCCCCCUUCCCUUUCUUCUUGAGAUUGUCGUAUGAUCGUCUCCCUGUAAUGUGAUGUAGCACUGUACUAUGCACUUCAGCACUAAGCCCAGAACCUAGCUAGCUUACUUGAGGGUCGGCUCUGGAUUUUGACGAUUGUGUUUGUGUAUAAUUUGUGAGGGGCUGUAGAGAGUCAAUUAACAAGUCAAUUAAUACAAACCUGUUUUUCUCUACGGUCCUCUGAACAUACUCGCUAUAAGAACUUAUAUUUCAAUAUUUGAGCACUGAAAAAAUUGUCAAAUUGACUGACUGCCUUGUGAGAAAGUAGCAAGAAUGAACUCAGGAAAUUCUGCAAACGAUAUCAGCAUUGGUUUGUGUAGAACUGUGGAUGUUUCUCUUGCAAGUCUAGGUUUUAGACUAAAAAUUCCUGCAGUUGUUUGGGUAAUGUUUUUUUGUUAGGAAUUAGGAGAAUUGUUAUGUAGUAAAAUUACCAAAAUUCUUACAAAAUAUUCUGCAAGUUUUGUUUGCCGCUGCUCAGUCAAGCAAAGCCAACUGCUCGCCACUAUGUGCGGUUCUCUUGCCAUUUCAUGGGGUGCAACCGCAAGUGGCACACAAGACUGUAGUUGUGGUGUUCUAAAAUUGACUGAUGUUGAUGUUUCUUUUAAAGAUUGUGGUAUUUACCAAUUUGGUCCCCGGGUUAUGUACUCAUUUCCUUUUCUAUUCUUUGUAGAUAAUUUGCUUCAGUUCAUCGAACUACCUGCUGAAACAUGUGUAUUGUUUCUCAAUAUAUUGGGCAUCAAUCCACCUCUCAUGAGAUCUCUGAA